AAAUCUUUAACAUUAUACAGUAAAAGCUUGUAGUUAAUCUCAUUCAUUCAAAAUAACUUCAAAUUCUACGCCAUUAUUGUCAAACACACUUCAACGACUGACUAUAAACAACCACAAUCAGUUGCUGUUAUCGUUUUACGAGUACGGGUUGUCGCUGAUGUCCACACAUUGAAUUCAGUGUCAUAUUAAUUGCGAUACAGCACAAAAAAAAACCACUUUAUUGGAGGAGGAUAAAAAACAAGUGCUGGUAAAAACCAAAAUGACCGAUUUCGGAGUUCAAAGAUUUGGAUGGAUUUUUAUACAGCUUGCUGAUACCGCAACGAUUCAUUUGCUCAUUACUUGUAGCAUUACACCAAUUAUUAUAUAAACAGUCUCUAUAUUUAUAAGCAAAUAUUUAUGCCAAAUACGAUAAAGCUGACAUUAACAUUAAAAUAAUUAUGGAAUAAGCUAUGCAUGGUAUUGCAAAACAAUA
This is a long non-coding RNA of Stomoxys calcitrans (stable fly), 472 nucleotides long. RefSeq lists it as uncharacterized. The transcript has 3 exons. NCBI's taxonomy places the organism in Eukaryota, Metazoa, Arthropoda, Insecta, Diptera, Muscidae. The record is from RefSeq and is a predicted model, not a curated record.